CCCUUAGAUGUUCUGGGCAGCACGCGCGCUACAAUGGUCUUCGCAAACGGAUGCAUUCUCGAAGGAGAAUGCCAAUCUUGGAAUCUAUGCCUUGGUCGGGACAGUUGCUUGCAAUUUUUCGACUCGAACCAGGAAUUCCUUGUAAUCGUGAUUCAUCACAUCACGAUGAAUACGUCCCUGCCCUUUGUACACACCGCCCGUCGCUCCUACCGAUUGAAUGGUCCGGUGAAGUGUUCGGAUCGAGGCGACGUGGGCGGUUCGCUGCCCGCGACGUAGCGAGAAGUCCACUGAACCUUAUCAUUUAGAGGAAGGAGAAGUCGUAACA
This 325-nucleotide ribosomal RNA is filed under the name uncultured eukaryote. RNAcentral's name for it is "partial 18S ribosomal RNA". It matches the Rfam family "Eukaryotic small subunit ribosomal RNA", at positions 1470 to 1796 of the family's 1831-position model. The record is from RNAcentral.